GGAUCCCCUCACGGCCGCGCCCCCUCUCCCCGGGGCAGCGGGGCCGAGGUGGGACCGCGUCGCCAGCCCCGGGGUGAUGCGUGGGCGAAGCGGGAUUGUGUCACUCGCCCUCCCGGAGUGAACUAAUGGACCGCGACUCAGCGAGUGCAGCCCCCGCGUUAUCCCUCCCGCCUGGGAGGUGCCGCUCCGUCACAACAUGGCGGGCGCUGCCGCGUCACAGCCCGCCCAGGCUGUCACGGCGCUGCCGCGGGUCGGGCGGGCCGGGGAGAUCGCGGGCGGAGAGCUGCUGGUGUGGUGCAGAAUUACCUGUGCUUAAGGUGUAGGAAAAGCUUACCUUAUUUGAUCAGACCUUGUGGAUUGAUUGGACUGAUUCAGGAUCCUGUCUUCUAUACCACCCUGCCCCGGACACCAGAGAAAAAUCUCUACCUUACACUAAAACAAUGGGAUUAUUCUGAGCCUUUCCUGUUUCAGCGAAAGAACUUACUUCUAUCUCCUCUUUUACUCAUCUAUUUGAACCAUUAUUUUUCGUUAGCUGAUUCUGUUUUAUAAAGAUUCUUACAUUGACUGUACUGGAAUGUGCAGAAUGGCAUUAAACACAUUAGUGUUUAAGGUAGCCUAAGAAUACUCUAAAUAUCUUUAGUAAUAGCUGUUACAAGCACUAUAUAUUCCUUUUUAGCCAUUCUUCAAGACACAUAAUUUAAUUUUCUGUUACUGAUUCUACUUUUCCUUGCAGAGAUGGAAAUUGUGGUCAUGACAUGGACAAUAUUUACAUGACUGUUUCCCUUAAAGUGCUGUCCAGAAUUCAUAAAGGCUCAAGAGCGGACUUUGAUUUCUGGAAACCCUAUUACCGAUUUCCUUCACCAAAGGUUCUUAAAGAGACUUGGUUGCCAUGGAAGAUUAACGUAAAUCCUUAUUAAAAACAGAAUAAGGAAUAAAAGGUUUUUACAGUAAAAUCCCACACAGUUCUGUGCUGGGAUUUGCACUGUUGAGCAUGCUCAUUUUAGUUUUUUAGUAUUUUUGCUCUUCUGUAAUUUCUACUAGCUUUUGCUUAUAUUACCCCUCUUUAUUUCCUUACAGGUUCCAUAAUUUGAUGUCCUUUCCCUCUCAGGCAGUGUCAUAUCCCAACAUCAGUCGCUUCCUGCCAGCGUAAAGCCCAGGAAGCCAGUGAGGGUGAGGCCCAGCGAGGUGACCAGAGUCAGGUACAGUCCUGUGACCACCAGGCAGGUGCACGGUGACGAGGCAGCUCUGAGGCCAAGGUGGGAAUUCAGUCCACAGCCCACCAUGGGGUCCCUGGACAGGCACAGGCAUGACUGUGACACUGCUACAGCCAGGGCUGAGGUGGAACAGAAGGGAUGGGUGGAGGCACCAGGUGGGGCUCAGGGUUGCUCCUCUUUCAAAAGCAUCCAGAAAUUAUUAUUCCUGAGGGAUGGCAGUGCAGGAAAGGUGUUAUUGAGAGUGUGGCUGGUGCAGGGAGCAUGGCUGAGAUCUGUGUAAAAACAAGGCAGGCUGUGCAGGUCCGUUAAUCUGGGAUUAUGUCAGGAGAGAUCGGCUCACCCGUGUGCUCCCGGCUGCUGCAUCCAGGUCAGACGGCUGGCUCGGGUGAGGGAGCACUCACCCAGACAAACUAGUGUCAGCACACAGCAAGGGUUUGUCUGAACCUGCAGAGAAAUAAAAUACAGCUCCAGACAGAUCUGUGCAGCUAUCCCACAUUUUUCAGGGCACAUCAGGAACACCACAGCACUGUCCAGCCGUGCUGGGAGCUCAGCCGUGGGGCAGAAGUGUAACAAAGGGAUCUCUGUGCCUGAUGCAGAAUAAGGUGGUUUGGGUUUAUUUUUUAAGCCUGGUUGGAGAUUUCUUCAUGAGCUGCAGCUUUUGUGAAUGUCUGUCAGCACAUUCUGGGUUAGUGCCAGUCAAGGAUUAUGACCUAUAUUAACAUCCCAGAAACAGGGCAGGCCAGCCAGGACUCCACCUCAUGGCAGGACUGCAGCUCAGUCUCCUGAUGUCUGAUAUCCACUGUUACUACAUUAUAAAGUCAGGUUAAAUUACUUCUCACAACAGGGACUUAUUUAAAAUGUGCCCACUCCUUUUGAUAGUGCAUCUCUUGCCUUCUUGACAAAGCAUCUGACAAUCUCUCAGUGAGGGCUAUUUAACUUUCUUAACAAAACAGAAGAAUGGCAUUUGCUACAGUUAUUUAACUGCUAUUCAUAAAAAUAAAAUAGAUGCCUAAUGGGUUGGCUUUAUGUUCAAUGGGACUUACAUCAUCGUAUCCAGUAAUAUGAACAAUAUUCAGUUCAGACAUGACUUGGUGGCUUGCUCAAGAAAGCUCCAUAUCCAGACACUGGAAUUUUCCCAUACCUUGUGUGGCACAUAUGCAUCUCACUGGUAGUUUAAAAAAUAGUGUUGUUGGAAAAUCCUAAUAUACAAACUGGAUCUAAAAGGGGUUUUCUAAGCACUUGGAAAGAAAGACAUCAGGAUGUGAAAACACCAAACAGUGACCCUUAGUGGUUAGUUGUGUACCUUGCACAUUUCUUGCCAUUAGAAAACAUAAGAUAAAAAACAUUCCUCAGCUUUUCAGUCAUGUUUAGCAGCUUGAUGGAUUUGAUUUAUGGAAGUCUGCACCUCCCAAGCAUCUUUCAAAGCUUUUUCAAAAGCUUUAGGAACAACCCAUAAGCCCCGUGGUGUUCUGUGGUGCUGAGGCAUGUUAGAAUUUUUCAGAUAUACAAACUAGAAACAAAUUCCCAAAAUGUGUGCAGUGAAUUAUUACACAAUACGAACUGAUUUGAUACGUGCUGUAUUCCCUGGGCCACACAUCCCUUCAUGUCUUGUCACAAUCUCUUACACCUUCCUGGCAUAAACACUCCCACUUCUUUUGAGUCAAGCUCUAUGUUUAUUGGACAUUAUUCCAUUUCCAUGAAAAAGGCAUUGACUAUCUGCUUAUUCUCCAAAUUCGGCCAAUUUAAAAUCUAUUGUAAUCAAAUGGAGUUUAUUCAACAUAACACCUAAAAAUCAUAAAAUAUGAAUUAAAAAGCCAUUAAUGUGAACUGUGGUUGUGUGACUGGCUGGAGGUUCUCACUGCCUUGCUGGUCUCAUGCAGGUUUGUGUUUCCCAACUGCUUUUCCCUGCAGAUGCUCCACAGUACUUUCCAGGUCAGUUAUACCCCGAGGGAAAUGGGAGCAAUGCCAUGAUGAUGAAUGUGAAAUUUUUCACUCUGUAACUGAAGUAUCUGUUUUGCAAAAUACUCUGAAUUAAUUUGGCUGUUCUAGGAGAUGAAAGUUGUUAGAAUCUGUUAUUAUCAAAACAGUAGGAAUUCUGGAUAUUUCAUAUAUUAAUUCUGAAAAUUAAUACCUUUUACAAGAGUAUAUUCAUUGAAGGAGUCUUGUAUUCAGGCUUUACUGAAAGGUGGCAAUAUUUUCACAGGGAAUAAGCAUCUUUCAAGUAUUUUCACAUUAAAUGGAAAUACUUUCAUCACUUGAGGCCCUUCUUGGAAGUCAUUCAACUAUGAGAACAUUUGCUUUAAAUAAAAGACUGUUUAAGCCAGUGGGAUUCCUGGAAUUCCUGAGCCAUUUAUGCUCUUCUUUACACUUUUCUUAGCACAUCUUAACUCACUGAACAUUUCCCUCUCCCCACAGAUUUAAUACUGGUAAGAAAUAGUCAUCUCAUUAAAACUAUGAAGGCUUGGGCUGGCAUUUCUAGUCUGUUUUAUGGUUAAUUUAGUUUUGACUGGAGUAGUUUCUGGGGUCCUUGCUUACAAACUUUCAAGUGCAGUUAGCCCAUGUGAUACAGCGAGUGUGUGCAUGCAGAGUAAAAAUGCAUCCACACCUUCUACACAGAAUAAUAAUAUUUAGUUUGUUAUAGCAGUUUCAGAAAAAAAUAGCAACUGCUUUUACAAAUAUUAUUUAAGGUUUCUCAUAUGUCAGUGAAAUAGGCAUUGAUAAAGAGAAAAGAUGGAAAUAGAGCCACAGAGCCAAUAGCUGUGCCAAUAGCUCAUUAAAUUCCAUAAAAAGCUAUACUGGAGACAAAGCAGGUCAGAGGUGGAAAACUACCUACCUGUGCUCAUAAAAGAGACCAUGUCUUGGAAUUGUACCUUUUGGCCCUGUACAGCAGGAGAGUAAAUGGUUAACAUGUUUAAGGAAUGAUCCACUUCGAUUUUCUCAGGGCAACACCUCAGAAUCAGGAAUUUUUAAGAGCAGUGACUUGAGCAGAAUAAAAUACAGCUCUGCAACAACACUUCUCCUCAGCCGGACCCUGCUUUGCCACUGUCACAUCCCCUCCAGGCCUGCUCUUGCUGCCUUAGUCGUUCCCUAACAUUUGUCAAUCUCCUAUCUGCAUUUUUUUUAUUUCAUUUUUAUUUUAUUUUCAUUUACUUUCUCCCUGAUACCUGCCCUUCUAUUUUAGCGCUCUUAUCUUUUUUACUGAACAAGGUCACAAGUGAAAGUGGGCUUUGGCAGUUCCAGCAUUCCGGCUGACGUUCAUUGACAUCAUGGAACUGUUUGCUCUGUCACGGUAACAGCUCCUGGCUUUGCAAAUUCACAUGUAUUAAAUGUCUCAGAUACAAUUUCAGUUGGUGCCUAGGAGAAAAAAUGCAGGACUGGGAUAUGAACUGUGACAGAGGCGUGUGGGUCACAAACAAAUCCACAUUCCCACUUUGAGAUCCUCUUUCCACAGGUGCAUCAAAGAGGCGGGGCCAUGUGGUGACUUGUAAGGCACCAGCUUGGCAGGUGGGUUUGUGUCCAAACAAGGCCAUUCUGGAGAUUUUGAUCCUGGGAAUAUUCUCACACUUAUUUAAUAUUGUCCAAAUACUUUCAGUUCUCACCACAGUCUGGGAUUACUCCAUGAGUAAGCUCAGAAUUCUGUUUUUUUGCAGGAUCAGGGAAAUCACAAACUUAAUUUCCAAAAAGAAAAUCCCCGUAGAUUGAUUCUGUACCAGGGUGCUGGUACGUACUACUAGAGAAACUAAUUCUGGUAAUAUCUCUAAUCUCUUUAAAUAAAAUAAUUUUCAAAACUCUGUGUUCCAUUGUACCAGUUACAUACCAUUAUCUUUAUUAUUCAUAAACUUUAUCAGCAUAGAAGAUUCACUGAAUAAAAUGUUAAUAACUUGAUUCAUUAUUUUUAAGUGGAAAAUCAACAGCUCACUUAUUAAGGGGUAUUUCUUUCUCAACAUCUGUAAGUUGGUGUAAAAAAUUACUAAAAGAUAUGUUUUUUAAUGGAAUAUUUAAAUAGUAUUCUCUAGCUGAAGAAGAGUCUGUGUUGAAAAAUAGAAACACUGAGUGAAAAUGUCACAGCUCUCACUUGCUAUUGAAUAACACAGCAAUGUCUCAAACCCAACCACAGCUAAUCAGAGUGGGAGAGCUACAGGUAUGUGAAGUGCAGGAUGAAUUAUUCUGAUAAUAACUGCAAUAUUUAUGUAUUAAAUAAAAAAGUUACUGUGCAUCUGUCAAAACUGAUUUCAGAUUUCCCAUAAUUUUUAUACCAAUGUCAUUUUUCUUGGUUUUCUUGGAAAAUAAGAUUCAGUUUGCCUAAAAAUUUUGAACACAUAUUCUUUCAUAUUUGAAGGUUCUCUUGAUACAGUAUAUUCCAAAGAGGGAAAGCCAAUUCCUACAGCAGGGAGUCGAGUCUCUUCAACAGACUGUUCUCUCUAAGCAGUGCUGGGGAGUUGCAAUUGUAUUUACUGGCAUUUCUAACAAAAUUGCAUUUUGCACUUGCAUCAUUUUUGAAGCUAAAGGUUACUAUUAUCUGAUUUUACCAGCCAGUCCCUUCUGUUUGUGCUUACAGAGAUUCCUCCCUUGCUUUCCUGCUGCCCUCCACUGGCAGCUGCUCAGACGUGCUUUGCUUGUGCACAGGAACAGGUUCUCAGCUGAGCUCCUCAUCUGAGCAGAACUCUGUGAAGCCUGCCUACAUACCCAGCAGCUCCCAGUCUUACAUUCCAGGAUGGAAUUAGGGUCACAGAUGGGACUCACUGAGGGUGCAUCAUGCAAAACUGUCUCAGUCGAAAACCCCUCAGUGGUCAAAGGCCGUUACACAGGCCUUGCUCCCAAACACUGCCAGGGAAUGCUGUUUCACACCUUUGUACCUCUCAGCCCCAUCUUUAUACUUCACAGGCCCAGUUUUUGGUUAGGUAGCCUUUUGUGGAGUAGAUCAAGAAACCUGAUUUGUAAAAUUGGGAAUUAAUAAUGCAGUAAUGCCAGUGGUUGGCACAUACAGACCUGUUGGCUUUGAUGGGACCACUGGACUGUGCAAAAUAACUCAGGCAUGGGAGUGUUUGCCAGCUUAAACUCCAGAGCCAAACAACAAGCUCAUUAUCAGCAAACACUGUGACUGGCACUGCAGUUGUGCUUCAAGGACUCUGCAAAGAUCUAGCACCAAAAAAUCCCAACCUAUAAAUGGCAAAGUGGAUCCGGGAUUGCAACUUUCAGGCAUGUGCUGGGGACCAAUAAAGUCAGCAAGGAAACAGGAAUGGCUGGCCUGGGGUGAUCAUGGAUUGACUGAUUUAAUGUAGAGAUUCACAGAAGUUUGGAUUUUCUUGUGUCCGGUAUCUUUCUCAAAAUAUUCUGGAGCUGUGUGAAGGGAACCUGCUGUUAUUUAACAGCCUUUCUCUGGUCAAAUUCACUGAGUUUAGCCAAAUAAAAUCUCAGUUUCCCCAUUAAAGCCUAGGCACUGAUGGAAGUGCAAGAAGAUUCCCUGCUCUCCUGCAUCCAGCUGUGCCCAGGGGUGGGGAAGAGCUUUGAACCAAGCAAUAAUAGGCUUAGAGUGAGAUAAGAAAAUGGACCCAAAAUCCUGCUUAUUGAAACAGUGCAGAAUUAAGCCUCCAGUUUCCAAGACAAGCAUGUCUGAGUUACUGCAGAAGAGCCACAGGCCUGUGCACACAGCCCCUGGCCAGCAGAAGGAAAUCCUCUGGGCUCAUUCCCCCUUUACGAAUAAUCUUUUUUGCUACUAUUUAGUUAGAGUAGGUUUCACCUCUGUAUUAAAACCAUUCAGGUCCUUUUUUGAGUUAGUACUAACCAAUGGUCAAGUGGCCUAGCUAAAAUAGAUUUAAUGUGUUCAAAAUGAUUUUCCAGGGUAUCCACAUUCCCAUCUAAAAACCACAGGGCUAACUGACAUCUCUGUGAGCAGCCUUUUUGAAUUUAACACUUGGAGUAGAGAAGCUGGGAAAAGCUGGAGAGAAGGAUUUGAGGAGUCCAUUGUGGUGAAGCAUUUUCCAAGAACAUCCUGAAAGGAUAUUACUGCUCACACCGUGUCACUUCUCUGGAUAAUAAAACUGCUCCAGCUUCUGCAUCUGCCAGUCUGGCACCUUUAAUAAGUAAUUAAAUCACACUGUGGAUGUGAACACAGCCACGGAUAAAUAAUAACUGACAGCUCUCACACUGGCACGCGAGCAGGGAGACACAGCCAGGGCAGGAAAUCACACACAGCAUUUCAUUUGUUACUGAUUUGUCUGUAACGAAGUGAGGAAGAUGCCCUGGGGACUGGUGACUAACAAGGAGCAUUGUUUAUGCUACAAAUCCCAUCCGGUUAUUAGUCUUUGAAAAGUGCUUUGUUUAGCUUAUCAGUGCUCCAGCAGGAAUACCAGGGGCAUUAUUGCUGUUGUAAGUGUAUUUCUAUUCCAAUAUUACUGACACAUAAGAGGUUAUGUGUUACCUGAGGGCUGAAAAUUCAGCUUGUGCUUCAGUGCCUUGUUGAAUCAGGAUCAGGAUGGUGAACACUGCACAAAACCAAGCCAGGAGCAGGUUUCCUUAUUAAUUUUUCUGCAUUAAAUUGGAGAACACCUUUACAGAAAUCAAACCUUUCUCAAGGACCACAGAUCAUGACAAAGUAUAAAAACCCUAUGGAGUAUAAAUGCCCAUCAAUUAAAAUUAUUUUAGCAUAUUAGACCUUCUGCUUAAAUUCUGCACUUCACUUAGGAAUUGGACAAUGUUGUAUUACACAACCUAAUUCUGCAGUUAUGCAAUUCCCAAGCACCGUUAAGUGUCUGGCAAGUUUUAGGGCUGUUUCACAACAGCACUGAUAAGCUGCUACUCUGUCAGGUGAUCAAAAUACCUGCGGUGUGCACUUGAUCAAGUUAAUAUUUAAAAAUAGGAACACAAUUUUUUUUUAUUAGGUUCAAGUAUCUUUUCAAGAUGUUAAGUGUAUCUUGGAGGAGAAGAUUUAGAAAGGGAGCGUUUUAUUUUGAGAUGGAAAAAAGUACAUUUCUUUCAUAGAUAUAAUUUAGAAAACCUGUCAGCCCCUUGCCAUUGGGCAACUAAGUUAAUAAUUGACAAAUAAGGCAUAAUUGGUCUUGCUGAAUGAUUGUACACCAACACUGUCAACUCCUCUCAAACAUUUCUGGAAAGGGGAAUGAUAAGCCAAACAUCACAUAGGUGUCCUGGACCACUCUAAAAAGUGUUCAUUAGACUGAUUAUGAAUAAAUAAUUGAAAUAUUUAUUUAGACUUUAUCAUUAGAUUACUUUUUGAAAAUCUGCAUGAAUCAAUUCUUCCCUUUAAAAUGUCAUGUUUAGAAUUUGCUUAUAAUUAGGCUAAAUGUGUGUUGUCAGAUAAUGAGCUGUCCAGUGUCUCCUCCCUGAUCAUCUUACUGGCCUUGUAACUGAGACCCUGAGCAGGCUGGCCAGAGGUCACACACUGUCACACCUUCCUGACAACUCCAAACCUCAAAGCAUGGCUUGCUUUACUAAAUACAGCAUAUUCUCUUGCAAAAAUGAAUUACUGUUUGUUAGCACUCAAAUCUGCUAAGUGCUCUUUAAACUUUAAUUCCCUCUCCUCAAAGAUGCUGAUGAGAAUGGACUCACCACUGAUGCUUUAAAACUAAAUUUCCUUGUGGUAAAGCUGGAGGAUGUUGUGAGCUGAGCUGUGGCACAGAGAUAAAGGUUUAUACCCAGGAGUUUCUGGCUUCAUAGUCAACAAACUGAUCAGUGCCUCAUGGCUUUCUUCUGCAUGAAAGAAUUAAAAAUGUGUCAUAUCUGAUGGCUGGGGUUUAGUACAAUGGGCUUGGUUUUGCAGCGUUCUACUACGAUUGUUUUCUGAAAUGCUCAGCUUUCAUUUUAAGCCAAAAGAUGUGUCAAGAUUUGAAAAUAUCUCCUUUGUCUCAAAAAUCCAUCACAAUUUCAAAGCCUGGGCCCUGAUGAGGUACCUACAUGGAGAAUUCCUUUGCAAAUCUGAGCUGUAGAGAAGUGACCUCAGUGAACACCUGUUCACUGAGAAAGUAAUAUCAACAUAAGGACUCUUCCUGAAAAAGUUAAAAGUGUUUUCUGGAUCUUUGAAUUCUAAGUCUGUUUUUCAGAAUAAUUUGCUGCUGAACUUGGGGUUUGGUUUUAGUUGCUUGCAUUUUUUUUUUAUUUCCUCCAAAUGAAUUAAAUUGACUUUUAGUGAACUAAACAUUUUACCAUCCCAUUCUGCUGUAGCAGGAUUCCCAAGAAGAUGGGGAUUAGAAACAUCAAUAUAUAGGCACCAAGAUCAAAAUCAAGGCUAUAAAAUAGUCGCUUUUAUGGGCUGUCACAGAGUUUCCAGCCUGAAAUGCUACAAGGAAUGACAAAUUUAAUUGUGCUCUUUGCAAUUGGACACAGAACUACUGCAUGAGAGGAAGCUCCCUAAAAAUCUGUCAUUGUACGCAAAGUCACACUAAAUAUUUUAUUUUGUUAAGACUGUUUAAUGCCAUCAAAAACUCAAAGCCUCACAACACAAACCCUAACUGCCAUAAUCAUUCCUGCAAUCUCUAAUUCAAUCUGCUCGUUCAAAUGUUCAAAGGCCAGCUCAGGAUUUUGGAAGGGGUAAAUUAAUUCUGGCAGACUCACAGCGAUGUCAGAUAUCAUCUGUCUUCUCCUUCUAUCACAUCCAGCUGGGAGGGCCCCUUAUAACCAGGACAGAAUCAACUCGAGCAUCAUUUUAAGUGCUUGGACUCAAUAAAUCAGAAAUUUGAUUAUGUGCAUAUAAUCUGUUAAAAACCAAUGAGAGGUUUGGCAUGUUUUUCCUAGCUGAUCUACUCAGGACAAGACUAAGCCACUGAUGUCUUUGCUGAAGGUGACCCCAAGUCUCUUUUUCCUCCCAAAUGCUGUGUUAAUACAACUGGGGGAAGGAAUGGCUCUACUGGGUGAAACCAGGGCCACCUUGCCCUCAGUACCUGUUGGGCUCAGAAACCUCUAGCAUCCAUAAGAAUGUCCACAGCUUAACCAUGUAUGUAAAGAACUGCCUUUUUGCAUCCUCUGUCACACUGCAGGAGCUGGCUGAGUUUCCCACUUCGCUUCAUUCACUCAGAGAUCACGAGAAAAUAAAAAAUGUGGUGUCAUGAUACUGGGUUUAAAUGAUUUUUCUUCUUCCCAUAUAUGCAUAUACUGUUCACCCAGAGCAGGAUCACUGCCUGGCUCUUUGCUGUAAUUCAUAGUCCUAACUCAAAUGCUCUGGGAGCAGAGCUUGAGCAUUUUCAGGGUCUUGACAGGACAUUGCACUGAAGCUGAUGAGUUUCCAGUGCCUUCGCACGGUGCCUGAGCUCAGCAGCCAGAACUGGGAUCAUCAGCAACACUAAACAUUUCAUUUUCCUAUCUUCUGAGCAGCACAAACUCUCUUUCUGCAGACUUGCUCAUGAGUCAUCUGGAAAUAAACCAUGAUCACUUGUCCCUUAGGAGUCAUAUAAUAAGUUAAUUAUUGUACAACACAUGCUAAUACAAAAUACACAAGAGGUUUCAACGUGUCGAGGCUGCAAAGGGCAGGAGAGCCUUUCAGAAUUUCCAUUGGUUAUGGUCUGGGAAUGCUGGGUUUCCCUUGACUCCAUAUCUAUUGCAUAAUCAGAAACACAUUUAGUUCCCUUUGUUGUACGAGACAAAGCUAAAGAAAUGUGUGUGUUAUUACUGUGCAAAAACAAAGAGUAGAUACCUAAUGGGCUUACGUCAUGUGUGCAGUGUUUGUAAACACAGCUCUGGGGCAGUGCCAGCUGACAGAAACCACCACAGCUUAUACCUGAAAUAAUGCUCUUCCGGAUCUGCAAAUACCCUCAGUGCUGCAGGGAAGUCAGAAUACAGGAGAGGGACGUGCUGGAUGCAUUUCAGGUAGCACUGAAUUAAAAAAAGCCUCUUUGCCUGGAGUUCACCUCACAGUGCCCUGGACCAUCCUGAGGUUUAGUUACUCCUACAUGGCCAUCCCAGCUUUGCUAUUGUGUGGUUGUUAUCUCAUCAGGAGAGAAUCUAAUCAGUGCAGGGAGAAGAAAAUCUGAAUACAGUGGAAAGGCCUUCGGCAUCUGAAAUUCUUCUUUUGAGAAUCGGAAACAAAUACAUUUAUAACUUCACAAACAGUAAACGAGAAAGAUUCUUUUCCAGUAGUUACAGAAAGAUAGUAUUGUUUAGGUUGGAAAAGCCCUCUGAGAUCAUUGAGUCCACGUUCUGGCACUUUGUUUUGAAACCUCCAGUUCCUCCUAUUUACAGAUCCUCAUUCUAGGAGGAAAGAUUGGUGCUGAUCUGAAAUUAUUCAUUUGAUGAAUGAGUUUAGACAUAGUUUUAGACAUGGCUCUGGCAAGAGACCCAGUUUCUCAACACUCACCUGGCAGACCUACACAAUGACCUUUCUCUUCUUUCUUAGAAUUAUUAUAUUAGAAAAACUAAUUAAAGAACCCACUUUGUUCUCAAAUGAGCUUGAAUCUUCCCAAUCAUCUGGUUCUUCCCACUAUUCUGUAAAAAAGUCAGAUACUUGGAGAUGCAUUCAUUGAUCUGUCAUGUAGACAGGUGCCAAUCAGGUAUUUAAUUUCUGACUUCAAAGACUGAUCUCAUCGUGGCUGUGGCAAUGGAACAUUUGAUAAUACACUUUGCAUUUGAGAAUGCCUCUUUAUCAUUUCAGAGGCUUAUAGAAUUCUUCUCUUCCAACUCCAAAACCAAAGCUUAAUAUUAUUACUAAUUUCAGACUUUGCUAAGCAAAGGGAUGGAUUGUUUGGAAGCAAUUAAUUUACUUAAAUAAAGGAUCUUUUUGCUACCCAGCCAAUGGAACACUAAGAAUCCUGUUCUCCCACCCAAGGAAGGCAGAGAAUGCACUGGACUUUAUUUCAGUACAUUUAAGUGACUGACAUGACUAAAAAGGAGGGGGGAAAACAGUAACAGGUAUGUGUGGCAUUUGUUCUUCUGUGAUGUUCUGCUAACCACAGUAAAUUAUUAUUAAUGAACUGAAUAUGUCAAUCAAAUUACUAAUUUAUUGAAGACUCUGUACUACUACUCUUCCAGGAAUCACUCCAAAUCUGGCAACCCAGUAAUCACAGGGACUCCAGCUGCCCCAGCAAAUUUUUAUUUGCUCAUUGCUUUCACAUUACAAGGUGCCACUUUUGAAAUGCCCAAGAAGUCUAAGGAUGACAAGAAGUAAUAGAUCCUCUCAUAGUAUACUGUUAAAUUACAACACAAAUUUGUGGAAUGGGUAAAAUGCACCAGAAAAUUACAAAAUUUGUAUUCAACUAUGCAAAAACCCCCCAACCUAUUAUAAAAAUCAACAGUCCAAUAAUCACACAUUUGUAACUGUGAAAGCAUGAACUCAAUUCUCAGAAGACAGCAUGUCUUUUUAAUCAUCAGCAUAAAAAUCCAGCUAUUCCAUAAAACUAAUUUAUAUUGGUGGAAAUCAGGAGUAAGACACACCAGUCUUAGGUCUGGUUCUGCCUAAAAUAAAGCAGAAGUGAUCCAGGCAUAAUUACAUUGCUUUGCAGCCCUGUAAAAGUUUUCUAAACAAACAAAAUCACGGAAGGUCCAUAUUAAACAAUUCAGUAAGUUAGUUUCUAGCCAUGUAUAAAGCCUUUUUUAAUCUGUUUACUGCUUUUUAAGUAAAUCUUUGUGGUCAUACAGGGGAAAAAUGUUCAAAGACAUCUCAUUACAUGCUCAGUAAGUGUUUAUUCCAGCCCAGGAUCUGUUUAACAGGAAAGGGACAGAUCAGAUUUAGAGGGUCCUUCUGUCAAGGCUGCCCCUGAUGUGGGCUCCUGUCUUUCCCCAGAGCAUCUCCAGCCACGGGUAAUCUACGUAAACCCAUAAUUCUCUGGAUAAACGUGCCUGCUAAAUGCCUUCUCUGAGGCUCUGAGCCAUAUGGUUGGGAUUACAGCAUUUCAAUAGUUAUUCCAAGUGAAUACAAAGAUGAAGCAUAGAAUAGUCGAGGCAGUUAUGUUCAUAAUUCCAUUUAUAAAGGGGAUUUCAGGAUUUUUAAGGCCCACAUUCUGCACCACUGGAGCCAGAACCACAACCUUAGAGCAAGUGCAAGUUAUAUUUACAAGGAAGAACAAGGUGCAAUAAAAACAUAUUUUUAUCUUUAGGAAACGUGCUUUUCCCCUAGAUGGAAAUGAUGCUCACACAGCACAGCCCCUUGUCACCAUUGCCAGCAUCACCAUCCUCUGAGGCCACGACACAUCAGUGGAUCACCAACAGCCAGGACACCUCAGGAGAGACACCGUGUAAUAUUUUAUGUUGUUUCAUGUUUUUCUAACACUGUUUUAUAACAUACAGGAAAAGGCGGCUUUGAAUAGAACUCUUCCAGGACAAACAAUGAGCACAUGGCCUCAAAAUGUGUUUCAAAUAAUACCACAGUAGUUAUAGUUUCAAGUACAAGGACAGACAUAACAACAAAGAGCAUCAACUUCCCUCUUUCCUGGUCUGGUUAAUUUUCCCUUUCCAUCUGUGAGUAUGACAUAAUGACACAGACUAUUUGUCCUUAAUUUUGAGAUCUGCAGAGGAGAAGUACCAUGCAAAAGCUUGGUCUAUAUUGGUUUUGUUAGUUGGAUGUGUUUAGCCAGGCUUUACUUUCCUCCACACACCAUUAUUUACACUCCAACGCACUGACUCCUUGCAAAGCAUUAUACAUGUUAUGACUGUGUUUAUGGAGUAGAAGUGCUCUCUGUAACGUCUGUUUUUCAUGUCUUAAACCAAUAAAACUUUACAUUGGGCUUAUCAAAA
Long non-coding RNA from Pseudopipra pipra, 13889 nucleotides. RefSeq lists it as uncharacterized. Lineage: Eukaryota; Metazoa; Chordata; Aves; Passeriformes; Pipridae. The record is from RefSeq and is a predicted model, not a curated record. The transcript has 2 exons.